UUUAAAUGGCCGCAGUAUCCUAACUGUGCAAAGGUAGCAUAAUCAUUAGUCUUUUAAUUGAAGGCUGGUAUGAAUGGUUGGACGAGAUAUUAACUGUUUCAUAUAAAUUUAUAAUAGAAUUUUAUUUUUUAGUCAAAAAGCUAAAAUUUAUUUAAAAGACGAGAAGACCCUAUAAAUCUUUAUAUUUAAAAUAUUAUAUUUUUUUAGAAUUAUUUUAAUAUAAUAUUUAAUAAUAUUUUAUUGGGGUGAUAUUAAAAUUUAAUAAACUUUUAAUUAUUUAAAUCAUUAAUUUAUGAAUAAUUGAUCCGUUAUUAACGAUUAAAAAUUUAAGUUACUUUAGGGAUAACAGCGUAAUUUUUUUGGAGAGUUCAUAUCGAUAAAAAAGAUUGCGACCUCGAUGUUGGAUUAAGAAAUAUGUUUAGGUGUAGCAGCUUAAAUAAUAAGUCUGUUCGACUUUUAAAUUCU
This 465-nucleotide ribosomal RNA is filed under the name Haematobia irritans (horn fly). RNAcentral's name for it is "partial 16S ribosomal RNA". It matches the Rfam family "Bacterial large subunit ribosomal RNA", at positions 1922 to 2596 of the family's 2925-position model. Lineage: Eukaryota; Metazoa; Arthropoda; Insecta; Diptera; Muscidae. The record is from RNAcentral.